GAUGAACGCUGGCGGCGUGCCUAAUACAUGCAAGUCGAGCGAACGGACGAGAAGCUUGCUUCUCUGAUGUUAGCGGCGGACGGGUGAGUAACACGUGGAUAACCUACCUAUAAGACUGGGAUAACUUCGGGAAACCGGAGCUAAUACCGGAUAAUAUUUUGAACCGCAUGGUUCAAAAGUGAAAGACGGUCUUGCUGUCACUUAUAGAUGGAUCCGCGCUGCAUUAGCUAGUUGGUAAGGUAACGGCUUACCAAGGCAACGAUGCAUAGCCGACCUGAGAGGGUGAUCGGCCACACUGGAACUGAGACACGGUCCAGACUCCUACGGGAGGCAGCAGUAGGGAAUCUUCCGCAAUGGGCGAAAGCCUGACGGAGCAACGCCGCGUGAGUGAUGAAGGUCUUCGGAUCGUAAAACUCUGUUAUUAGGGAAGAACAUAUGUGUAAGUAACUGUGCACAUCUUGACGGUACCUAAUCAGAAAGCCACGGCUAACUACGUGCCAGCAGCCGCGGUAAUACGUAGGUGGCAAGCGUUAUCCGGAAUUAUUGGGCGUAAAGCGCGCGUAGGCGGUUUUUUAAGUCUGAUGUGAAAGCCCACGGCUCAACCGUGGAGGGUCAUUGGAAACUGGAAAACUUGAGUGCAGAAGAGGAAAGUGGAAUUCCAUGUGUAGCGGUGAAAUGCGCAGAGAUAUGGAGGAACACCAGUGGCGAAGGCGACUUUCUGGUCUGUAACUGACGCUGAUGUGCGAAAGCGUGGGGAUCAAACAGGAUUAGAUACCCUGGUAGUCCACGCCGUAAACGAUGAGUGCUAAGUGUUAG
This 816-nucleotide ribosomal RNA is filed under the name Staphylococcus aureus. RNAcentral's name for it is "bacterial SSU rRNA". It matches the Rfam family "Bacterial small subunit ribosomal RNA", at positions 28 to 826 of the family's 1533-position model. The record is from RNAcentral. Lineage: Bacteria; Bacillati; Bacillota; Bacilli; Caryophanales; Staphylococcaceae.